Molecule: ribosomal RNA, 495 nt
Filed under: uncultured bacterium
Lineage: Bacteria
Description: partial 16S ribosomal RNA
Rfam family: Bacterial small subunit ribosomal RNA
Source: RNAcentral
AUGAACGCUGGCGGCGUGCCUAAUACAUGCAAGUCGCGCGAACAGACGAGGAGCUUGCUCCUCUGACGUUAGCGGCGGACGGGUGAGUAACACGUGGAUAACCUACCUAUAAGACUGGGAUAACUUCGGGAAACCGGAGCUAAUACCGGAUAAUAUAUUGAACCGCAUGGUUCAAUAGUGAAAGACGGUUUUGCUGUCACUUAUAGAUGGAUCCGCGCCGCAUUAGCUAGUUGGUAAGGUAACGGCUUACCAAGGCAACGAUGCGUAGCCGACCUGAGAGGGGGAUCGCCCACCCUGAACCUGAGACACGUCCCGGACUCCUAGGGAAGGCAGAGGAAGGGAAUCUACGGAAAUGGGGGAAAGCUUGACGAAGCAACGCGGCGUGGGUGAUGAGGGUCUUCGGAUGGUAAAACUCUGUUAUAGGGAAGAACAAAUGUGUAAGUAACUAUGCACGUCUUGACGGUACCUAAUCAGAAAGCCACGGCUAACUACGUG